GGAUGCGAUCAUACCAGCACUAAAGCAUCGGAUCCCAUCAGAACUCCGAAGUUAAGCGUGCUUGGGCGAGAGUAGUACUAGGAUGGGUGACCUCCUGGGAAGUCCUUGUGUUGCAUUCC
This 119-nucleotide ribosomal RNA is filed under the name Triticum aestivum (bread wheat). The record is from RNAcentral. Lineage: Eukaryota; Viridiplantae; Streptophyta; Magnoliopsida; Poales; Poaceae. RNAcentral also lists the same sequence under 3 other names.